AAGGUGGGGAUGACGUCAAAUCAUCAUGCCCCUUAUGAUUUGGGCUACACACGUGCUACAAUGGACAAUACAAAGGGUAGCGAAACCGCGAGGUCAAGCAAAUCCCAUAAAGUUGUUCUCAGUUCGGAUUGUAGUCUGCAACUCGACUACAUGAAGCUGGAAUCGCUAGUAAUCGUAGAUCAGCAUGCUACGGUGAAUACGUUCCCGGGUCUUGUACACACCGCCCGUCACACCACGAGAGUUUGUAACACCCGAAGCCGGUGGAGUAACCUUUUAGGAGCUAGCCGUCGAAGGUGGGACAAAUGAUUGGGGUGAAGUCGUAACAAGGUAGCCGUAUCGGAAGGUGCGGCUGGAUCACCUCCUUUCUAAGGA
RNAcentral lists this ribosomal RNA (372 nucleotides) under Staphylococcus aureus. RNAcentral's name for it is "bacterial SSU rRNA". It matches the Rfam family "Bacterial small subunit ribosomal RNA", at positions 1170 to 1533 of the family's 1533-position model. The record is from RNAcentral. Lineage: Bacteria; Bacillati; Bacillota; Bacilli; Caryophanales; Staphylococcaceae.